Pelobates cultripes (western spadefoot toad) is the source of this 208-nucleotide non-coding RNA. Lineage: Eukaryota; Metazoa; Chordata; Amphibia; Anura; Pelobatidae. The record is from the annotation of a GenBank genome assembly.
AGCAGUUUUCAUCGCCGGUAGGACGGAGGCCGGUAAGUGCACCGAGAGUUGUGCACAGGUCCCCUUUGCCUUCUAGUUGCAGCUGGGUGGUUUUUCAGGGGGAAGGAAAUAUUUUUAGGGCUAGGAUUGUGGGUUUCAUGGAGGAGCUGAGGUGCCCCACGUCCAUCCAGCUCGGCGGUCAGGCCCCGCCCCAAUGAUUUGAAAUUUA